GGCUCUUGAGCCAUCUCAGUGAUGUUGAGGAUGCUGAGGAAGAGUAGUCCCAAAUCAGGUUUUUUUGUCUGAAACCAGUGAGCAGGUUGACGCCGGUGAGAAGUCACACCAUCAAACUCCCUGACGCAGAGCUGUGCUUUACCAUUAGCCAGACCAGGCAACUGCCUGGGGCAAGGCCACUAGGGGGCUCUCUUAUUUAUCCAUUUUUACAUUUGGCACUUGUCCCUUGUAUUCUUGCACUCUCGUACGCUGCUGUGACAAGUAAAUUUCCCUGUUGUGGAAUAAAGUUCUAUCAAUCAA
Molecule: long non-coding RNA, 300 nt
Organism: Syngnathus acus (greater pipefish)
Lineage: Eukaryota; Metazoa; Chordata; Actinopteri; Syngnathiformes; Syngnathidae
Exons: 2
Source: RefSeq, a predicted model, not a curated record